Long non-coding RNA from Bombus pyrosoma, 4851 nucleotides. RefSeq lists it as uncharacterized. The record is from RefSeq and is a predicted model, not a curated record. The transcript is spliced from 3 exons. NCBI's taxonomy places the organism in Eukaryota, Metazoa, Arthropoda, Insecta, Hymenoptera, Apidae.
AAAAAAGGUAACCGUGCAUGGAGGAAUUGUUAAGAAAAUAUAGUGCGUGCUAAAACCUUUAAUUUGGUUCCUGACAGAGAAUAAGUCGUAAAAUACGAAGUUAUAAUUAGAUGUCAAUGCCCUUCGUACGUGACCGAUGCGUUAACGGAAGAGGUUAAAAGUAAUAUAUACCGAAUUAAGCUUAACUUUGGUCCAUCGAGCGACAGCCGUUUGUUGCCCAACACAGCUGGUCAGUGUUCUAAGGAGCGAACCUGUCCACCCUUUACCGAAGACCGAUAGGGUUAAGCCCUAAAUCUGGAUCAAAUUGCAUCAGCUGUUGCCGAAUGUCAAGGAUUUUUCAAAUAAUCUGAUAACAUCAGUCACUUAAACAUCGCGCUCGGAACUUAGCCGGCGGCCAUUAAGCUCACGCAUCUUCAAGCUGAAUAAUCGAGUUGGACAAGUUCUAUUAGUCCACGAGCCAGCGUGGAACAAUGGAAUGUUUUCCGUUUUCGCCACUCAUUCAUCAAUUUAGCACCUUAACGGAAGGACAGAGCGUGCGCUGCCGCUGAUUUUCUCCUAGGCAGGCUGGCGAACGUCUCUAUACAUCAGUGAUCAUUAGUGCUGCAUUCAAGUUUUUCUUGGAUCUUUUAAAAUUAUAUUUUUAUAGAACAUGAAAUCUUCGUGGCAAUGGAAUUAUGCGUUUCUUGCGUUGUCUGGGGUUUGUAUAUUACUAUCUCAUAAGAAUGUGGAUACAGAAUGGUGUAGACAGAGACGUAAAGGUAACAGACUAGCUAACAACCUUAUCGUAAACAUUGUAGUUUACAUACUUUUUGAAUCAAUAGAAAAAGAUGAUAUAUUCAUAGAAAAUACGUAUUUUUUCAAUUAUAGUAUCUCUUAUUUUUGUAGACAGUUCGGGUACUUGUUGAUAGUUUUCUCUACUCAACGUACAACAGAGAAGAGGUUAAUUCUUUGUGAAAUUAUAAAUUGAAAAGACUUUUAUAUAUAAAGCUCCGUUUUCGUUGUAUACACUGGUUUGGAUACAUUCUGAACUAAUAAAAUAAAAUGUAUAUAGUUAUAUAAAAUACGAAGUAUCUCUGCAAUCGUAGUACAACAGAGAACACAGUAAUUCUUCGCGAGAGUAUGAAUGAAAAGUAUGAAAUAAAAUUUUUACAUACUUUGUUUUCGAGGAAGAUAACUUUGAAAAUCCAUCACGUAUAUGUAUACUAAUUUUAACUUUUUGAAUGAGGAAUCUCCACUUUUCUAAUCGUAUCUAAGAUUGUAGAAACACCCUGUAUAAAACAGAAGUCUCUUCGCGUCACUUUUAACAGAAAAGGUGGAUCUUCCAGUAAAGAGUUACUUUGCCAACUAGAUGCAAGAAUUCUUGGUAAUCCGUAUUACUGUUUGACCAUCGUUCAAUCGACAAAACUCUUGCUUACAGUGUAUCGUGUACCAGUCAGCUUGCAACUCAACUGCAAUGGCAGUCGGUAGCCACGUCUGAUUUCAUUUCUCGAAAAGGCAAAUCCUCGAGAAACGCUCGCUCAGGUGGAAUGAAGGAAUCACUUUCGAUUAAGCGUUAGCGCGAUAUCCUGGCAAUUGCUACUUACUCUGCGACGAAUAUUAAUAUUAGUAUCGAUUAAAAUUAUUAGCACUAUUUAGUAGUACAAUUAUUAGAUGUUGCGAUCGUGUUACCUCCUCAAAUAAUAUUCAUAAUACUUCUUUGCCGUUUUUUCAUCCGAUAACAUUAUUUUAACAGAGGAAUGCUUUUGUUAAUUAUCAGACGGGCGAAAUAGUUAUUACGGUUGGAAGAUCGGGAACGCAGAUUUGCUCUUGAAAAGAAAUUUCAAAGACUGUGUGUAAGAAAUUGGACUAUUGUCGAUAUUAAUAUACAUUGGCGUAAUUUAAGCGAUGUAGGAGAGGAUGUUUUGUAAUAAUCUUUCGAGUUAAUUAGACUCUCAGGUAAUUUUUAAAUAAUGCUAAGAUUAACUUAAAAUUAUAUUGUUAAAGUGAUAGCGAAUGAGAAGAGAACAAGGCACAGAGGGCAGCACAGGCUAAAGAAUACAUAAAUUGGCACGGGUUAAGGAUUAUAGUUGGCUAUAGCCUAAGGGAACCAUAAAUUAUUUUCAGGAGUUUUCUUAACUUUCUGUUAACUCUUUAUAACACCGAGUCACAUUCAUAACAUAGAUCACGUGUCCAAAUGAAUAAAGCAAAAUUCUAUAUCUGUUACGAAUCUUGGCUUUAGUUUCUAUUUUUCAGGUAAAGUAUUAUUAAAUAUAAAUUAUUAGAAAAUAGGUUACCUGUUCUACUCGUAUGUAUAUAUUAUGUAUGUUUCAGCGAGGUCGCAGAAAAUUCUUCAAAAAUUUCAGUCCAUACUUCUCAAAUAUAAAAUGUCUUACAAUUAUCCAUCUCUGCUUCGAUAGAGUUUCCACAAAAUCUCACUUGGAUAGAGUUUCCUUUAAGUAAAAUACGUUUCGCGUAACAUUUCUUCAUGAUAAAAUUUCUUUUAGAUUAAAUUUUUUCUCGUCAAUAAUGUUCGGCGUGGUCAUGGUUCCCAGCGAAAGUUGCUAGUAGAAGAACGACGAAUUAUUAUAUCCCUCGGGUGGCGCAACGUCAGUCGACCAAGUGCACUUAAGCUCGAACAUGAAUGUAAUUCUCGCACGCUCGCGCGAGCCUAUCGUCACACAUGCAAAACACGUAUACACGAGGUAAAACACAGGGAAACAGCAGCGUGGCCGCGGUUUCGAAGCAUGCAUGCCAGUCAGGCUUCGUUCAAAGGCCCCCGAUUAAAUCUCACCUGGCUUAAUAUUAUUAUUUUACGUGGCGCCUGCGAGUGAAAACGAGCGACCCGACGAGAGGGCGAGGAAAUUAGAGAGAGUGCGAGGGGCGGGCAGGGAAGGUUGGAUAAUGCCAGUGGAUAAAAGCAAAUGGAACAGUGCAGGAAACACUGGCCGAAUAUCGUUCACGUGAACGAUCUUUGUACCGUCUAUGCAACCGUAAUUUCAGUUAUUUAGCCUCUCCUCCGACCUCCCCGGUUAUUCGUGAGUAGAAACAUUGUUCUGCUUAGGUGUUUCCAGGUCUAUUACUAUUCAGAACUAUUCAAAAACUGCUCAAAAAGAUGCUUUCGUCAUUAAGGAGUCGUUCGAUUGCUGUUUGUAAUUUAUUGAGUUGGCAACUAAAUGAUUGCGGAUUUUGUCAUUAGGUGACAUUGACAAAAUCCGCAACCACUUAGUUGCCAACCCAAUAUACUUUUUUAAGGUCGGUGGAAAAAUGUAUAGAGUAAGGAGGUAGGAAUUAAAUGAAGCUUUUAUAGAAUCGAGAUGUUGCAUGGUUUUAACCCGUUCACUGUGAAUCAGAUUUUUGUUACAUAUAAAUUGCCUUGUUAACAAAUAGUUCUGCGCCACACCUGUAUCUAUGCAGUCAAUCUUUAUAUGUAUAUAAAUUAUAAUUAUUCGAACAUCUAUUACGUCCAUUAUAUCUAUUACAUCUAUCACACUAUGUAUACAAUGGUUCACGUGGAAGUAUUAUUAUAUAUACAUAAUGUAUUAUAUUAUACACGUUACACGAAACAUUUUGAAAUAUCACGAGUAAAGAUAUGACUAUUAUGAUUGUAUUGGUUACACAAAAAGUUUAUUUUUUACGGUGAGUGUUCAAAUGUUAUUGAUAGAUUGUACAUGUCUUAAAGUUAAAUAUUCAUCGAUUAUUCGAGUGCUACGAAUAAUUAUAUGCGUUAUUGUAUAUCUGAUAGAAAUCGACAUUUGGUUUGUAUCACGCAUCUAAGUUGAUAUCAUACACAUAUCCUGAAAGUACGUGUCGACUGGUCAUAUGUAGUGAAUGUGUUAAUUACAAGCUUUAAUCGGUUCGUUUCAUUAUAUGUACGUUGAUAAUUCGUUCUGAAAGGAGGGAAAAAAGGAGAAAAUCGAAUCGAAAAUAAAACAGGAGAGGUAAAACGAAUCGAGAUCGAGUCUUGCGAAAACAUUAAGAUCAACCUUGUCUAGAGUUCCUACUCUCGAUCCGGUUCUUCGAGGAUGCGUUUAUUAAUCGCAGAAUUGCGAUCCUGCGUGUCGAUAGGGAAAAUAUUGCCAUGUAAUAUGUAGACAUUCGUUUUUCAUCGUUAUAAUUUAUCAAUUGUUAAAUAAUUAUGCCACCUAUAAUAGUAUAAUGUAUCGUAUCCUGUGAUACAUACAUAAUAAAUUUAACGCAGGGACUCUAGUCACGAUAAUUUUCAAUUUUUUAGAUAGUUACAAAAUUCAAGGAAAUUUUCUUCUAACCGUAAUAUUAAAUUACGUAAAGAAAAAUUAAUUGCAAAUAUACAAUCGAAGGAAAGGAUGAAAAAAGUUAAUAUUAUUAAUAUCAUGAAAAUAUUAUUUCUUAUUGUGGUUACUAAAAAGAAAGUCGAUUAAUGGUAAUAAAUUUUUAUCUAUUUUCAUUGCAUUCUGAUUAUUUCUAAUUCGUUCUAUUUUCCUAAUUAAAUUUAAUGAAUUCCAGGAUGAUAUGUACGACGAUUUGGUACAUCGAACAAGCUUCUUUAAUGGUGCCGAUAAAAUCGUAAGAUGUUAAUCCGUUGAUCACACGGGAUCAUUUGGCCUUGUGGUAGAGAACGUGCCCCUGUUAGACGAGCAUUACGCAAUUCAAAUAUUAUUCAAAGGCUAAAAGCUAGGGGGGCAGGGCGCAGAUGACGUAGAAAGGAACUAGAGGGGAUGAAAUGUGUGCGUGCGAGCAGCCAUAGGGUAUUAUGUUACCGGAAAGAUGGACCUGGAUAAGGGCACCAGUUUCCUUCCUCUUCGGAUUUUCUUCGUUGUCGAUCAAUGAUUUUCUUCUCUUUUCGAGAAAAUUUCACUGUAAAUCGAGGAUAAAAUUUUGAUCGGCUGUGCUUGA